UGAAUAUAACCAGUCUACCAUUUGUAACUUGGGCACUUCCAAUUAUUUUUUUCUUCUCAAAGAUGAAGAUUAUGAGUGAGUAUUUGUGUGGUGUGGUGUGUGUGUGAUAUGACUAAGAAAUUUGUCUAUUAAGAGUCAGAAACUAAUAGAAUAUUGGGUUGCUAUUUCUGUACCCAGCCUAAAAAUUUAUUUUAAUUGUGAUUACCUUUAAUAUGGGGAUUCAGAUCAUCACACAAAGGUUGUUUUGUAAAUUUGACAACUAACAGCUCAGUAAAUGAAUAUUGAGA
This 287-nucleotide long non-coding RNA is filed under the name Bos taurus (domestic cattle). Its description in RNAcentral is "long non-coding RNA NONBTAT025617". The record is from RNAcentral. Lineage: Eukaryota; Metazoa; Chordata; Mammalia; Artiodactyla; Bovidae.